AUGCCGGCGCGCAGCUCUUACUUCGUGCGACAGAUAAGAAUACUGCGUCGAGUAUUCGUGUUUCUCAUUGUAAAUUCGGUAUAUUGCGGUAUAUUUUAUUGAAUUAAGUGUUAAUUAACGUGUUUGAUAAUUCGGUAAAUAUUUAUCGCGUAUGUAAUCUUCGGAAUUGAAUAUUUUGUGUGUUUAUUACAUUUUCGCGUGGAUUUCUGAUCGGUUGUCGUCGGACGCCGGCCGGCAGACUUUGUGUGUGAUUAUAAAUAAUAUUUUGGACUUCUGCGAACUAUUUUUGACUUCGGCACAACUCGCUCAAUGGCUCAAUGUGUUACCUGGUACGAAUACUAAUUUAAAUAAUUAUGGAGAACAAGACGAAAUUUAUGGUAAACAUAUUUCAGUAUCAACUCACAUUUGAUUUGCGGUGUUCGAUACAGUGCGUACUUGCCGUAUUCUUGCAAUCCGAGGAGCGCUGCAUUGUUACAGCAUUCGUUGUGCCUGGCAGUCCGAUAAGCUGUACACUGAUCUCAAGGAGUUGAACGUGACCUCGGUGUACAAUCGUGCCCGCAUUCAAUUGUAAGUAUUGAAAUUCUUAUCAUUUUCAUAUUGGCCCUGUUCACGUAGCCUGCUAUAUCUUUUCCUUGUUUAGUCGAUCGUGCGAUGUUGUUCAGUACACACGUGCUUUGUUCACAAGUCGAUCUUCGUAACUAGUUUGCGCGUUUCUUGUGAUUUUAAGUCGGUAGUUGAAUUAGAAUCGAUCAGCAAAGAUAAUAUUUAGAAUUAACGGACUAGUACGGCGUGCAGUUAAUGAAUCGCGCGUGGAAGUCAGAAUUGUGUAGUUUUACAAUGUGCGCACGUUUUUGCCGUCUACCGUCGGAUAUCUUACGUUGGCUAAGAAGUCCGUCCCAGUGGUUUUAUUUGCGUAAUGAUAUUAAUUUGUGAAACUAAACACUGUUUGUCCCCGUGUGGAACAUUUUAACCGAGAAAGUGCACGUAGGUAAUUGUAACAUUAACAUUCGAUGAAUUAAACAAUUAGUGAAGAUGUUUCAUGGACGAAAUAAAUUUAUCAGACGUUAAGGAAAAGCGAGGUAACCGUUGUAUAAGUAAAUACUCUAAAAAUAAUUCAAUUUUAACAAAUAAUUUUAAAAUUCAACAUGUACUCUUGUGAUUGUAUGAGUUGCAAUAAACUAUACUUUUAAUAU
Long non-coding RNA from Dalotia coriaria, 1193 nucleotides. RefSeq lists it as uncharacterized. Lineage: Eukaryota; Metazoa; Arthropoda; Insecta; Coleoptera; Staphylinidae. The record is from RefSeq and is a predicted model, not a curated record. The transcript has 4 exons.